UUUACUCUCAUUUUCUUUCCAUGUCACGACAGUGCGUUGUUGCAUGCGUAAAAACUUGGGGGUUAUGGAACGGAAAAAAUCCUUGAUGUGAAAAGGUUGUUUGGGGCGUUUUCUCUCCCAACCUAUCACAUUUUCUUAUUUUCCAGAUAUCACAGAACGUGUGCAUUUGCAGUUCUGGCGUUGUUCCGUGCAGUUACCACUGCUAUUACAACAGGAAAUUAUUUUGGCCUAUUUCUCUUAACGUUUAAAGAUAUUUUUGAAACCGGGUACGACGUCAGCAAAUAGCAUACACACCUGAACCAGAUUUCAUUCCCAAACUGCAUCGGUCACUGCACUUCAACAGACGUUAGAUCCUACGCCUACACCUCCCGCGAUGGCGUUUUUUUUAACAAUUGGAACCUGCGAAAUGGAUAUCGAUACCGUUUCCAGCCUACUCUUUCCUCUCCUGCGAUGGUGUUCUGACUUUUAACGUGCCGCUGAUGAGAAGGGGUUGUAAGCCACUGGUACCCAUCUGUCCAAUCUUCUCCCCAUGCCGGAGAGAUAGAUCUAAGUAUUACACUAAUUCUAGUUCGAACUGUUUAAUGCUUGAACAAUCCACCUCGCUAUUAAUUGAAUAGUCUUUCACACAAUCCUAUUUCUCGUGGCUGCGAUGUCAGGCAACGGUUUAUAGCAUAGAAUAUUUGUUCUACAAUGGAACACAUCAUUUAAAUUAAGUUUUAAGGAUUCAUUAAGCCCUGCAUUUGUGAUACGAUCAGCGGACAUACGCACGUUAGACCUAAAGCUAUCAGUAACCAGCGUGAAGCAUUUCAUCUCUUUGAAAAUGAGGACGAUGCCAUAACCGGUGAAUUCGAUAAAGUAAAUGGUCUCUAACCAAAACCACGUUCCAGUUCCAAGUUUUUCCUGGAAAAUGUGGAGUCGUUUCAUCUUUUUUUUCUUUCUGUACUCCGACGUUGCGUUAUCACAGUGAAAAUUUUGGGGUAUUGAACGAAAAAAAUCCAUAGUGAGAAAGGCAUUUGUCGUUUUAGUAUGUUUCGAUCAUCGAAAUUCUUUUUGUUGAGUAAGGUCAUGCUCUAGUCGUUGAAUUUCGUGGAAACAGCCGUUAAAAGAUUUGUUUCUGUUUAUAUACUUUUUUGUUGUCACAUUAUGCAUACGAUAUAGUCCUGAACCGGAUUUCAUUCCGGAACUGUCAUAAACUUGAGCAGAUGUAGCCUACAUUUCUGUCGCAUGUUUUUGAGUCGUCGUCAUUGGCUGUUUGUCACCGCUUGUUUUUAAACGCCACACGUCUAAAACAGAUGUUUACAUCGUUUUUUUCCACAUUCAUCCAUGUCAUUGGGUAUAGUUUAGACGUCAAUCCUUCUAUGUGAAAUUAGUAUAUAAAACAAUGGAGACUCUAUAGCUAAACCAGAACAUCACUCGACAUCAUCACUCACGUAAAGUAGAAUUCUGAAAAAUGCUGCGUCAAGUAGCAAUCCUCUUCUUCAUGGUAUCCGCUAUGACUUUGGUUUACUCGCUGCCGGCCUUGCACCACGCUGAGACUCUAGACCCACUGGGACGAGUUCCCUAACGUGACUCUUACCUUUAACUGCACUAAUCAUCCAUAUGGAUUUUACGCCGAUCAAGAUUUUGCGUGCAGGCUCUACCAUUUUUGCGGCGCGUACGGUCGCCGUAUCAAUUACAUGUGCGUGUCCGGAACUGCUUUCAACCAGCGAUACGGCUUCUGCGAUAAGAUCCACAACUUUGACUGCAAAGAAGCUAUCAAGUGGUAUUUUUGUCAGCCUUAUGUCAAUGCUCCAGCUCCCUCAGGGCCUUUUGUCCUUCCCGGACCCGUAUCCAUCAAACUGCCUUGACCUAUCCUUUACACCUUACACUCUCGCCAGUUUUGGGAAUUUAGUGUGGUCUAUGCAUUCGAAUAACGAGCAUGCGGAAUCUUGGCGAUUAGCCAAAUACAAAAGUUAAAUUGCC
This 1962-nucleotide long non-coding RNA is filed under the name Daphnia magna. RNAcentral's name for it is "uncharacterized LOC123470208". The record is from RNAcentral. Lineage: Eukaryota; Metazoa; Arthropoda; Branchiopoda; Diplostraca; Daphniidae.